This 1316-nucleotide long non-coding RNA is filed under the name Olea europaea (common olive). RNAcentral's name for it is "long non-coding RNA (OEUR_LNC012555)". The record is from RNAcentral. Lineage: Eukaryota; Viridiplantae; Streptophyta; Magnoliopsida; Lamiales; Oleaceae.
UCCAGGUAGAAUUUAUCUUUGUAAUUAGUUACGUACAAAAUAUAAAACGAAGGGCAAAGAUACGUUGAGAGAAGUUGCAAGGAAUAAUUCUUGAUGAGAGCAACCAUCCUCUGUUGGCAUCUAUUUGUUACUGUAAUGCUUUUUUGUCCUUUUCCUACAAGAAAUAUGAGUGGAUUACUGAGCCAAAGUAGAAAACAUUAUGUUUAUAUGCAAGUAAAAUAAGGAUUAAAAUUAUCUUUAAACUGAAUUUAAAGCUCUCGUGUCAAAGUAGAGAGCAGAAAUUAUAUGCAGGUGCACUAAUACACCCUGAGGAAAAGAUGAUAUGAUGAAACUAUGUACAAUAUGAGAACAAGAAUUACAUGGUGGGAGGCAAAAGAUACCAUCUCACGUUUCAUAAGAAAUUCACACAUAAAAGUUUUAACGUAAUCAUAAAAAAUGUAAAUCAUCAUCUUUCGAGAAUAAUCAUUUAGUUAUAUUUGAUUUUGCAAAAUCACAUUAAUGCCAAGCUCAAUGUUAUCCAAAAAAGGUACAUCCGAAAGUUACCACAUUUUCACAUUGACUGACUGCACCAUAGUUCUCAAACUUAGAAUCGUAGAGUCCGUCCAUUCUCCUAGUCAAUAGCCUUAGAUUGCUACAGUAACUUACACUCUAUGCUGACUUUGAGAUAUUCAAUGUUCAUAUGCACACACAAAAGAAUGUAAUAAUCGAUCAUGAUUGAGAAACCAUAAAUCAAUCACAAAGGUUAGUUACCUGACAAUUGAAUGUUCACUCUGGCAUCACUACCCAUAACCUGAUGAGGUUCGUGUGGAGGAACAGACACUAGCGUAUAUGGAACGCUUGGAUGGUCGACAUUCGAAGAAAUUUGCGUAAUUUUUGUAUAUGGUGUCCAUUUUAGGCCCAUAACCCCAUUCCAAAGAGCUCACGACGAUUCUGAACGAACUCAUAGCUUGCCGUGAUGUAUGAUGGAUUUUGGCCGUUUAAAUUCAUUUACUAGGUCAAAAUGACAUUUAAAGUUUCUUAGUUUAUUAUUUUCAAUAUUUGUUAUUCUCGCUUUGUAGCCCAGCCCAUUAAAGGAUUGCUGCCCAGUAGGUUAUUUGUUUUUUUCAUAUUUAAGACUCUGAAACGUCUCCUAAGAUUUUUUGGUUGUUCAUGAAAUAAGAAAACGUUUGUUUCUUGAGUUCAAUCCAUUUGAGUUGAUAGUAACCUCAACCAUAAAACCAUUGCUAAAUGCAGAUUCGUUGGAGCCAACCAUAAGUCGAGAAUCUGCACGUGUAAAAUAGUCAUUGAAAACUUAUUCAUGGAUGGAAACUAUUAGG